UAGUAAUUUUGUGACAAUACUAGACAGAAUAUGAAGAGGUCAGUCACAAAGGUUUGUUCCAAGAAUGACUUUUGGAAUCAUGCUGCCCUGCCUUCUGCGUCUUCACCAAGAAUUUGCUACCAGAGACCAAGCUCUACUACUACUUGAUUACUUCUGGCCCAUAUCCAGCAGGAAGCAGCCAAAAUAGCCCAGCAAUCAUUGGUAUAUCAUCUUCUUCCUAUGAAGGAGCAGCAGCCAUUUCUCCAGUGCUGGCGAAGAGGGCUGUUGAAAGGGAGACGCUGCUGGUUCCCUGUAUCUAAAAGACUGAUUAUAUACAUUGCUUUUCCACAUGUCGGUGUUCCUAGUUUGUAGUGUGAAUAUUUGUGUGUUUAAGCUAGACUUAUUUGGAACGAAUAUAUAUAUUCUUCUGAAUUAAAAU
This 418-nucleotide long non-coding RNA is filed under the name Mus spicilegus (steppe mouse). RNAcentral describes it as "lncRNA (ENSMSIG00000003338.1)". The record is from RNAcentral. Lineage: Eukaryota; Metazoa; Chordata; Mammalia; Rodentia; Muridae.